AGCACUGGAAUAUUUGAAUUAGAGAAAUUAAGGAAGGCGAAAAGUUUAAAGCCCUUGAUUCUUGCCUCUUACCCUUAUAGCUAGUGAUUUUCGUAUGUAUGUCCUGGAGCAGAUAAGGAAUAUCAGUUGUGAAUUUACCUGGUUACUGCCCAAAUCACUGUUAAUUCAUAUAUGCUGCCUCUGCAUUCCUUCCUCUAGUUUCGAAGUGCUCUCAGGGCCUCCUCAUACAUGCUCAUCCAGUGAUACUAGCCCUGAGUAGUACAUCUUGUAGUUUUCUUCUUUUCUUAUCCCAUCCUCCUUCCUACCUAGUGCACAACCUCCAGUUACACUUAAAGGUAAAAGAUGAAGAAAUAGGAGGAGAGAGAGUGAGCAAGGGGCAGAGACACAUAGGAAAAGUGUUAGGAAGAGACAAAUAUGAGUGUAGAGUCCUCAAAGGACUUGCUGCCCUCUCCAGCUGCUGCCCUACUCUGCCUUGUUCCUGUUGUCACCGCUUUCCAUCUUUCUAAAAGGAGUUUAAAAUAAAAAUUACACACAUUUGUUUGAAUUUCGGUUCUCAACACUCAAAAGUGCUUUUUUGAACAUCGCCGAUGACGUCCUUCAAUCAGUCUCAGGGCUUUUGCUUUGUUUCUCUCUUCCUUUGUUGCUCUGCUGCACUUUCUACAAAUGUGAACAUUCCCUUCUUGCUAAGAGGGGACGCCGUAUUGACUACAACUUCUGCCACAUGAAACCUUGUCUAAUCAGCCUCGUUUGAAAGUACACAUUUCAUUUGAUGACAUUUGCAAAUUAUCCACCACCCCCCUUGCCCCGGAACUUGCAAUAUGAAAACGCUUCCAUAUGCUAAGAGCUAGUGUCCUCAUUUUGCUGAAGGAGAAAUGAAGAAACAAAGUAUUUUACUGACUUGCUGUUUUAUAAACAUGAAGCUGCAAUGUGGGCAGAUGAAGCUGUGGCAGCCCCUCAGAGUUCACUGUAAACAACUUCGCAGCCCUGAGGCCCCACUACCCUUCAAGAUGUUUUUUUGCUUGGAGAGCUGUUUUUGUUCCACAAAAGUAAAUUGUUAAAAACGCAAUUGUGACUUGUAUAUGGUUCUGAGAUAUUCCAAUACAGUUAGAAUACUGUAUCAGAUUCUGAUUUCUAACAGAUAUGGAUUUUUCUUUUUUUUGUCUUUUUGCCUUUUCUAGGGCUGCUUCCCAUGGCAUAUGGAGGUUCCCAGGCUAGGGAUCCAAUCGGAGCUGUAGCCGCCAGCCUACGCCAGAGACACAGCAAGGCGGGAUCCAAGCCACGUCUGCGACCUACACCACACUCACGGCAACGCCAGAUCCUUAACCCACUGAGCAAGGCCAGGGAUCAAACCCGCAACCUCAUGGUUCCUAAUCGGAUUCGUUAACCACUGAGCCACGACGGGAAUUCCUGUUGUUCCUUUUCAUGUGGAUAUCAGUGUGAUAGAAAUACUAUUUUUUUGGAGUUUCCUGGUAGCCUAGCAGUUGAGGAUUCAGCAUUGUCACUGCUGUGGCUUGAGUUGGAUCCCUGGCCUGGGAAUUUCUGCAUGCUGUGGGCACAACUGAAAAAAAAAAAAAAGAAAAAAGAAAAAGAAAUGCUGUCUUCUACUUCUUUUGACUGGAUUCUAAUACACUUCUGAGCAAAUAAUGGAUAUAAAAUAGACAUUCUGUUACUACAGGUUUUCAGUUAAAAAUUGUGGCUAUUUGUGUAAAUUGCAUAAAUUAUCAAGUGGAAGAGCUGAGUGGUGGUACCCGCACAAUGCUUAAUAUGUUCUGGAGACUAUAAAAUCAAUCCUACUGAAGUCUGUCCUUUGUCUUUAAAGAUUUAUUGCUUGGUUUUUAGAAUUUCACUAACUUAAUUGCGGUAGUGGUUUCGCAGUGUGUAUCCAUGAUUCAGAGCUCAUCAAAUUGUGCUCUUUAAAUAUGUGCAGCUAUUUUAUAGGUCAAUAAAACUAUACCUCAAUUUAAAAAAAGAAAAAUAUUGUGAAGAGGUGGUAAAGGUAUAAUUUAGCAGCAAAAGCAACAUCACUUAAUGUAUAUUUACAUUAGCAUGUUAAAAAUAAUAUAUAAAUAUCAUAUACAUUUAUGAACAUAAAUAUAACAACAUACACAUUAUUGAAGAGACCCUUAUGUCUCCUGCCAUCUUUAGUCUUAGAGAGUUGCUAGAAUGUCAUCAAGAAGACCAUUUUAUAAAGGAAAUUGUUAUACCCUGGGCAUCCAGCACUCAUCUUUCAUUCUGCAUAGAGGAUCUGUACAGCUACAAUGGUAACAAUGAAAAAAAAGGAAUAGCAAAUUUAUUUUUUAAUUCUGAUGGACCACUUCAAUCUUUGUCUAACUAUCAAUAUUUUUCUUUUUUCACUUUCUUGAUAAAACCUUGUAUUUUGCUGCUUCUUCCUAGUGUGUUCUCUUAAACCAACUUAUUACUAAGAUAGGGAGUGGAUCCAGAAAAACCAUGUAGAGCUAUUGGAUGAUAUAUAGUUAAACUAAUUUACAAAACAAUUUGGGGGAUGGAAAUUACUGCAUUUUAUCACAAAUGAGGAAUGAAAACCAAGAAAUACAGUGAUUAGAGUAAGUCUAAAUCAAGCAGAGUGUUAAGAUUCUCUUUUUAGUUCAUAUAUUGGGCUUAAUUUUUCCAUUAUGAAAGUGAGAUCAGGUCUCAUUGUUCUCUUUAUUUAAAAAAUAAAGGAAUUCUAUGUAAGCCAACUUAUGUCACCAUCAGUCUGAGUAAAAGAAAAUAAUGAGUUUCUGACACCACUGAGGUUUAAUGACACCACUUCUGACAGCUCAGCACUAACUUGUAACAAUGCACAAUAUAUAUACAAAUUUGUUAGUGUUUGCUCACUGCAAACUAUCACCAUAUUACCAAGGUGCAGACACUAGAGAUGCAUGAUUUUUACUUCCUGUAUGUAAUGAUGUUUAAGAGAUACUUAAACUUGAUUUUAAAGCCCUGCAAUAAUUUGUCUAAGAGCCUACAGAGUUAUUAGUUCUUAGGGUGUUUUUUGUUUUUUUUUUUUUUUUAAGUUCUCAUUUAUAGUAAUGAGCAUAUCAUAUCAAUUAUCUGAUUUUUUUAAUAUUUUGGAGGAAAGAAUGUGACCAGCUGGCGUACUGUUACUGGAUGAAAUAACAUUGAAAUAACAACGGCAAAAUAAGUGCCUGUGCAGAAAAUUGUUAGGCAUAUCUUGAUGGAAAAAUCACCUUGACAGAUUGAAAACAACUUUAGCUGGUUCUUAGAAGUUAUAGCUAAGUCCUGAUAAGUAAUUUAGGAAUGCCUUAUGUAUCUUCCUGAAUUAAUCCUGCAAAACAUUGCCAGGUAAUAAUUAUUAUAAACGUUGUUGGUUUUAAGCCACCUUACUUUAAACACAAUUUUCUCAUUAUCUAGUUUUUGUUCCUCCUUGAUUUUAUAUUCAAGAUCUUUAAACAAUCCAUCAUCAAACUUUUAUCCCUUGUGUCACUGUGCCUCUGUAUGAAUUGCCAAUGUUUCUAUGAUUUUUCUCCUUUGUUUUCUCUGUGUUUGUUCAGCUGGACCCUUUGCUUUUCUCUUUUCUCUCUUUUUUAACCCCUCUAAGCCCUACAGUGCUUUAAAUGACACAUAAGUUAAACCUGUCCUGACAUUCUAUUCAUACAUGUUAGAUAUGCCUCUUUUGUGCCUAGAGUCGUCUGUGCCAUCCAUCACCAAGGUAGAGGCAGGGGGAGAGGCUGCCCAGGAUGGACCAUGGUAUAGGAAGAAAAUAUUAGAACUUUACAAAUAUUUUUAAAUCUCAUCUUGGUUAAUUUUUAUUUUUUUGUGUGUAUAUGUUUUACAAUAUACAUGAUAAAUUAGUAUCCAGAAAGAAGACAUCAAAUAAUUAAAAUAUAUAUAUAUAUAUGAGAGGGUGCAUGCUCCAAAUGUUUUCCUGAUGGAGCACACACUGGAGAGUUAGGGGACCACUUAUCUAUGCUGGUGAUCAUAUAGCUCAAGUUGUCAGGCCUGUUUCUUGUAAAAUUAGGUCUAGGAUUGGGUUAGAUAAUUUCUAAGGUCUUCUUUAGCUUAAAUGUUCAUUGGGUUAAAAAUUUCAUUUUGUAAAAAUUUCAAGCAUAAAGAAAAGGUACGAGUAUGCUAUAAUGAACUCCCAUAUGCCAUUCACAUAGUUUUGUCCACUGUUAACAUUGUGUCACAUUUCCUCUUUCUCUCUCUCUCUCUCUUUUUUUUUUUUGGCCACACCCAUGGCAUGUGGAAGUUCCCGGGCCAGGGAUCAAACCCUCAACAUGGCAGUGACCCAAACCACAGAUACGAAAUCCUUAACCUCCUACACCACCAGCGAAUACCCUUUUUCUCUCUUGAAGACGUAUAUACAUACAUAUCAUUGUCAUUUUGUUCAUUUGCUAGUAAAUUGAAGAGGUUGUUACCAUUUACCCUAAAUAUUUUAGCAUGUGUCAAUUAAGAACAGAUACUCUUUUACAUAACUACAGAAUAUUGUCAAAUUUAUACUGGAUUGUUAUCUAGUAUAUGGUCUGUGUUCAAAUUCUAUAUAUUGUCCCAGUAUGACAAUAAAAAGGUCGUACUGUUUCUUCCCCAAUUUUAGGAUUGGAGCACAGGAACUAUUUUUGUCAUGUCUCUCCAGUUUUCUUUGCUGGAACAGUCUUUUAGCUGUUCUUUGUAUUUUAUGUCACUGACAUUUUUGAAGAAUAUUGGUCCUCAAUUUUGCAGAAUGUCUCAUUUGGGCUUGCAUAAUUUUUUCUAUUCUAUCUUGUUUUUUCUUUUUUGGUAGUUUAAUUCUGUCUCUGUGUAUACGUGCUGUGUGCUCAUGUGUGAGUCUCUUUUCCAAACCAGAUUGUACGUUCCUUGGAGACAGUGGUGAUUCAUCCUGUUCAUAUUUGUUCUUCACACUUUCAAGCAUAUAUAAUACUUUGCCUAUAAUAAAUGUUAAACAUAUUCACAAUCGAAAGUUCUUUCAUAUUCUGUAGGUUC
RNAcentral lists this long non-coding RNA (4944 nucleotides) under Sus scrofa (pig). RNAcentral describes it as "lncRNA (ENSSSCG00065031288.1)". The record is from RNAcentral. Lineage: Eukaryota; Metazoa; Chordata; Mammalia; Artiodactyla; Suidae.